UAUUAAACUUCAAUCGCCGUGGGACCCCGUGGGAUUUUUGGCGAACGGGUGAGUAACACGUGAGUAACCUGCCCCUGACUUCGGGAUAAGCCCGGGAAACUGGGUCUAAUACCGGAUAUGACUUCCUGCUGCAUGGCAGGGGGUGGAAAGAUUUAUCGGUUGGGGAUGGACUCGCGGCCUAUCAGCUUGUUGGUGAGGUAAUGGCUCACCAAGGCGACGACGGGUAGCCGGCCUGAGAGGGUGACCGGCCACACUGGGACUGAGACACGGCCCAGACUCCUACGGGAGGCAGCAGUGGGGAAUAUUGCACAAUGGGCGAAAGCCUGAUGCAGCGACGCCGCGUGAGGGAUGACGGCCUUCGGGUUGUAAACCUCUUUCAGUAGGGAAGAAGCCCCUUUUUGGGGUGACGGUACUUGCAGAAGAAGCGCCGGCUAACUACGUGCCAGCAGCCGCGGUAAUACGUAGGGCGCAAGCGUUAUCCGGAAUUAUUGGGCGUAAAGAGCUCGUAGGCGGUUUGUCGCGUCUGCCGUGAAAGUCCGAGGCUCAACCUCGGAUCUGCGGUGGGUACGGGCAGACUAGAGUGAUGUAGGGGAGACUGGAAUUCCUGGUGUAGCGGUGAAAUGCGCAGAUAUCAGGAGGAACACCGAUGGCGAAGGCAGGUCUCUGGGCAUUUACUGACGCUGAGGAGCGAAAGCAUGGGGAGCGAACAGGAUUAGAUACCCUGGUAGUCCAUGCCGUAAACGUUGGGCACUAGGUGUGGGGGACAUUCCACGUUUUCCGCGCCGUAGCUAACGCAUUAAGUGCCCCGCCUGGGGAGUACGGCCGCAAGGCUAAAACUCAAAGGAAUUGACGGGGGCCCGCACAAGCGGCGGAGCAUGCGGAUUAAUUCGAUGCAACGCGAAGAACCUUACCAAGGCUUGACAUGUUCCAGACCGGGCCAGAGAUGGUCUUUCCCCUUUUGGGGCUGGUUCACAGGUGGUGCAUGUUGUCGUCAGCUCGU
RNAcentral lists this ribosomal RNA (1000 nucleotides) under Arthrobacter sp. D20(2013). Its description in RNAcentral is "bacterial SSU rRNA". It matches the Rfam family "Bacterial small subunit ribosomal RNA", at positions 62 to 1063 of the family's 1533-position model. The record is from RNAcentral. Lineage: Bacteria; Bacillati; Actinomycetota; Actinomycetes; Micrococcales; Micrococcaceae.